RNAcentral lists this small RNA (422 nucleotides) under Pan troglodytes (chimpanzee). RNAcentral's name for it is "processed transcript". Lineage: Eukaryota; Metazoa; Chordata; Mammalia; Primates; Hominidae. The record is from RNAcentral.
CAACUCGUGACAACCAUUGAUGUUUACUCUGUCUUCAUAGUUUUACUUUUUUCAGAAGAGUCAUAUAGUUGGAAUAAGAAGAGUGGAUAUCUUUUUGAGUAGUUAAAAAAUUAAAGCUCCAUGGCAGUUGAAUGGCCUCCUGCAAAACAUCCUUCCUUGAAGCCUAGCACUGAAGUGGAAGAUCCUGCUGUGAAAGGAGCAGUACAAAGAAAGAAUGUACAGACAUUGAGAGCAGAACAAGCCUUACCAGUGGCUUCAGAGGAAGAGCAAGAAAGGCAUGAAAGAAGUGAAAAGAAGCAACCACAGCUAAUUUUAAAACAUGCACUCUGACAGAAAAGACAUCUGAGAAACAAAACAAGCAAAUUUGUUUUCCAUUUUGCACCUGCGCCCCAAAAAAAAAAAGUCUCAAGAACCAGAACUGG